Molecule: small nucleolar RNA, 199 nt
Filed under: Leptobrachium leishanense (Leishan spiny toad)
Lineage: Eukaryota; Metazoa; Chordata; Amphibia; Anura; Megophryidae
Description: Small nucleolar RNA U3 (ENSLLEG00000024176.1)
Rfam family: Small nucleolar RNA U3
About the family: Small nucleolar RNAs (snoRNAs) are involved in the processing and modification of rRNA in the nucleolus. There are two main classes of snoRNAs: the box C/D class, and the box H/ACA class.
Source: Rfam by way of RNAcentral
AAGACUAUACUUUCAGGGAUCAUUUCUAUAGUUUGUAACUGGUGAAAUGUGCUCGAUAGUGUCAAACUCAGUAAUCACGAUGAGGAGCUUCAGUGUUCUCUCCUGAGCGUGAAAAGUGUGCUCGGUGCUGCUUUACUGUAGCUGCCUUGUACAGUUGAUGAUCGUUCUUCGUGGAGGGAGAGAACACAAGCUGAGUGGU